CCAGUAGUCAUAUGCUUGUCUCAAAGAUUAAGCCAUGCAUGUAUAAGUUCACACCUUCAUACGGUGAAACCGCGAAUGGCUCAUUAAAUCAGCUAUGGUUCCUUAGAUCUUACUUCCAUUACUUGGAAUAACUGUAGAAAUUCUAGAGCUAAUACAUGCCAAACAGUCCUGAGACGAAUAAUUUCAGGACGGAUUUAUUAGAACAAAACCAACCGGUCUUUGACUGUUUGUUUGAUGACUCUGGAUAACUUUUCUGAUCGCAUGGCCUUGCGCCAGCGACGUAUCUUUCAAGUGUCUGCCCUAUCAACUAUCGAUGGUAGGUGAUAUGCCUACCAUGGUUAUAACGGGUAACGGGGAAUCAGGGUUCGAUUCCGGAGAGGGAGCCUUAGAAAUGGCUACCACAUCUAAGGAAGGCAGCAGGCGCGCAAAUUACCCACUCUCAGCUCGAGGAGGUAGUGACGAAAAAUAACAAUACGGGACUCUCAUGAGGCCCCGUAAUUGGAAUGAGUACAAUUUAAAUCGUUUAACGAGUACCAAUUGGAGGGCAAGUCUGGUGCCAGCAGCCGCGGUAACUCCAGCUCCAAUAGCGUAUAUUAAAGUUGCUGCAGUUAAAAAGCUCGUAGUUGGAUCUCAGGCCAGGAGCUGGUGGUCUACUUUAUUGUAUGACUGUCAGUUCCGCCUAAUCAGCCGUUAGUUGUUUCUCCUGCCCUUCACCGGGUGCGUGAAACGCUCGGCACGUUUACUUUGAACAAAUUAGAGUGCUCAAAGCAGGCCUUGUGCUUGAAUAUUUAUGCAUGGAAUAAUGGAAUAGGACUUCGUUUCUAUUUUGUUGGUUUUCGGUUACGAAGUAAUGAUUAAAAGAGACAGACGGGGGCAUCUGUAUGGUGGUGUUAGAGGUGAAAUUCGAUGAUCGCCGCCAGACAAACAACUGCGAAAGCAUUUGCCAAGGAUGUUUUCAUUAAUCAAGAACGAAAGUUAGAGGUUCGAAGACGAUCAGAUACCGUCCUAGUUCUAACCAUAAACGAUGCCAACUGACAAUCGGGGUUUCUAUCACAAAUUUACCCCGGCAGUCCCUGGGAAACCUUUAAGUCUACAGGUUCUGGGGGAAGUAUGGUUGCAAGGCUGAAACUUAAAGGAAUUGACGGAAGGGCACCACCAGGAGUGGAGCCUGCGGCUUAAUUUGACUCAACACGGGAAAACUCACCCGGCCCGGACACUGUGAGGAUUGACAGAUUGAUAGCUCUUUCUUGAUUCAGUGGGUGGUGGUGCAUGGCCGUUCUUAGUUGGUGGAGUGAUUUGUCUGGUUAAUUCCGAUAACGAACGAGACUCUAGCCUGCUAAAUAGUUCACACAUAUUUUGUAGUGUUUGUGAACUUCUUAGAGGGAUUGGCAACUUUUAGUUGCACGAAAUUGAGCAAUAACAGGUCUGUGAUGCCCUUAGAUGUUCGGGGCCGCACGCGCGCUACACUGACGAUAUCAGAGAGUUUUAUCCUUGGCUGAAAAGUCCGGGAAAUCUUUAGAAUUAUCGUCAUGUCAGGGAUUGGGGUUUGUAAUUAUCCCCCAUGAACGAGGAAUUCCCAGUAAGCGCAAGUCAUAAACUUGCGCUGAUUACGUCCCUGCCCUUUGUACACACCGCCCGUCGCUACUACCGAUUGAAUGGUUUGGUGAGGCCUUUGGAUUGGGGCUAGUGAAGUGUUUAUACUCUUUGCUUAUCUCGAGAAAAUCGUCAAACUUGAUCAUUUAGAGGAAGUAAAAGUCGUAAC
RNAcentral lists this ribosomal RNA (1762 nucleotides) under Carcharodorhynchus listensis. RNAcentral's name for it is "SSU rRNA". It matches the Rfam family "Eukaryotic small subunit ribosomal RNA". The record is from RNAcentral. Lineage: Eukaryota; Metazoa; Platyhelminthes; Rhabdocoela; Schizorhynchidae.